AGAAAAUAGAUACCCCGGUAGUCCACGCCGUAAACGAUGAAUACUAGUUAUUGGGGGUAUUGACUCCCUCAGUGACGCAGCUAAACGCAUUAAGUAUUCCGCCUGGGGAGUACGGUCGCAAGACUAAAACUCAAACAAAUUGACGGGGGCCCGGCACAAGCGGUGGAUUAUGUGGUUUAAUUCGAAAGCAACGCGCAGAACCUUACCUAGGCUUGAACUCCUACGAACCUGAUGUAAUGGUCGGGGUGUCCGCAAGGAAAUGUAGUGAGAGGUGCUGCAUGGCUGUCGUCAGCUCGUGUUGUGAAAUGUUGGGUUAAGUCUCGCAACGAGCGCAACCCCUAUCGUCUGUUGCCAGCAUUAAGUUGGGCACUCUGACGAGACUGCCUGGGUUAACCAGGAGGAAGGUGGGGAUGACGUCAAGUCCUCAUGGCCCUUAUGUCUAGGGCUACACACGUAAUACAAUGGCGCGUACAGAGGGAAGCGAACUCGCAAGGGGAAGCAAAUCUCAAAAACGCGCGUCUCAGUCCGGAUUGAAGUCUGCAAC
Molecule: ribosomal RNA, 544 nt
Filed under: uncultured bacterium
Lineage: Bacteria
Description: bacterial SSU rRNA
Rfam family: Bacterial small subunit ribosomal RNA
Source: RNAcentral